GGCAGUUCUCGGGUGACACACCCUGGAAUUAGGCUCCCUCCUCUCUGGUUCCAGGUGCAUCACCCAAGAACUGCA
This is a non-coding RNA of Myotis brandtii (Brandt's bat), 75 nucleotides long. The record is from Rfam. NCBI's taxonomy places the organism in Eukaryota, Metazoa, Chordata, Mammalia, Chiroptera, Vespertilionidae.